Molecule: ribosomal RNA, 465 nt
Filed under: Vreelandella stevensii
Lineage: Bacteria; Pseudomonadati; Pseudomonadota; Gammaproteobacteria; Oceanospirillales; Halomonadaceae
Description: partial 16S ribosomal RNA
Rfam family: Bacterial small subunit ribosomal RNA
Source: RNAcentral
CCUACGGGUGGCAGCAGUGGGGAAUAUUGGACAAUGGGGGGAACCCUGAUCCAGCCAUGCCGCGUGUGUGAAGAAGGCCCUCGGGUUGUAAAGCACUUUCAGUGAGGAAGAACGCCUGGUGGUUAAUACCCAUCAGGAAAGACAUCACUCACAGAAGAAGCACCGGCUAACUCCGUGCCAGCAGCCGCGGUAAUACGGAGGGUGCGAGCGUUAAUCGGAAUUACUGGGCGUAAAGCGCGCGUAGGUGGCUUGAUAAGCCGGUUGUGAAAGCCCCGGGCUCAACCUGGGAACGGCAUCCGGAACUGGCAAGCUAGAGUGCAGGAGAGGAAAGUAGAAUUCCCGGUGUAGCGGUGAAAUGCGUAGAGAUCGGGAGGAAUACCAGUGGCGAAGGCGGCCUUCUGGACUGACACUGACACUGAGGUGCGAAAGCGUGGGUAGCAAACAGGAUUAGAUACCCCUGUAGUC